Patella vulgata (common limpet) is the source of this 1455-nucleotide long non-coding RNA. RefSeq lists it as uncharacterized. The record is from RefSeq and is a predicted model, not a curated record. The transcript has 3 exons. NCBI's taxonomy places the organism in Eukaryota, Metazoa, Mollusca, Gastropoda, Patellidae.
UGUUGAUUGACGGGUGGUUGGUUGUAAGAUAUUAUAGUAUAUAUUAUUUAUUGAGGGACAGUAACAUAAGAUUAGCGGCAUGGAGGUGAAAGGACUGAUUUUGAAAUGCCUACCUCUCUUGUUUUUAAUCCUGUGUCUAUAUACAGACAAAGCUCGAAGUGGUUGGUGUUACUAUAGAGAGGCGUACGAUGAAAGAUAUUGUACUUGUACACAAUACCUCUGUGAUCAGGGGUUGAACAGUUGUUUUAAUCACAGAACUAAGCACAGAACAGUACGUCGUUGUUGUUCUGGUUACACUGGUGGUGAAUGUCAACGUAAGUAGAAGUUUUAAGGCAAUGUGAAGUUGGCAAUUCUGGAUUCACGAAUAACGAAUAACGAGCAAGCACGUUAUUCGGAAUUUAGUAGUUAACUGCCGAAUCUCGAAUAACGUGCUGGCUCGUUAUUCGGGAUUCGCGAAUAACGAAUAACGAACCAGCAUAUUAUUCGGGAUCCGACCAUUUCCUCGUUAACCCCGACCGCAGGUGUAAGUCACUCCUGCUAACUGGACUUGCUGGUCCAUGUGUAUUUGUCUUGUUCAGUAUUAAAUAGUUUCAAGGAUACUGACAACGGCGUUUACGUAUUACUGAAACUGUUCUCAUAUUAUCAGAUUAUCUACAAAGCGGAUUUCGAAUGCGUACAGGGUUAUAAUUUACAAACAGAGGGAGGAUCACUUUAUCAAAGUAACAAAUUGGCUCAAAAAUAAUUGAUUCGAUCAAUCUUAAGAUGCGGCAUUUAAAGUUAACAUUGUACUAGAUUAUAUUAUUAAUGUAUAAUAUAUAUUACUGAGGUAUUUGGUCAAUGUAGUUUUUGUCAAGUGAACCAUUUGGCAGUAGUUAUUUUAAUCGUAUCUGAUGAAUAUAGUUUAUACAUUGUUAAUGUAUAUUAUCUCGUUCAGUAAUGUGUUUUAUACUUCAACACACAAUAUACUUGUAUUGAACACUAGUCGGCAAUUAUAUAAAGUCGCUAAUAUUAUAGUAGACUACACUUAUUACAUGUAACUAUGAACAUGAGUGUGUUUAAUAUGCACAAUGGGUAGACCACGAGUGCAUUGAAAUGUAUUAAAAUGUUCGAAGUCUUUGUUAUUGUAUUGAUACAGUAUUAAAUUACAGUCCAUUAUCCUGUGCCAAAUUCAGCCUUGAUUGAGAAACAAACCGGUAUAAGUCAUGAAAUUCAAAUUGGGCACUAGUAAUAACAAUAUUCCAUAUAGGGACAAAAUAAAUUUAUAAAGCUUUAUUAACACCCAACAUUACCUACACAUAAUUGUCACAGCUCCAAAUAAUAUAGUCCAGGCAAGAUAACAUAAGUGCGGGAAGUUGUUACAAUAGAAAUGCCGACCAUAGUUGUCACAGCUCCAAAUAAUAUAGUCCAGGCAAGAUAACAUAAGUGCGGGCAGCUGUUACAAUAGAAAUGCCGACC